GGGCGCGCCUACAAAAUGGCGGCCUGGCGCCUGCGGCUGUGUCGGACAGGGGUUGGCGGCGGGCAGCCGGCUGUCGCGGGGACGUGGCCCCAGCACCCCCUGGGGGGGCGGCCGGACGCUGCUGAGGGAAAUCAGGGUGGAGAGAGAAUAACUAUACCCUCUGUCAGGAAAGAAGUAAUGCUGCACUUCAGUGGCUUCCCCCCUUUACAGGCUAUGUGGCAAGAUGAUGAUGGUGAGAGAAGGAAGUGCUUUUGGGAAGAAGUUCUCAAGUUCCUGGAUGGUCACCAGGGAAGAUAUCAAUCUGAGGCUAGCCACUGUUCAGCAGAGAAAUGUCGCUUGAUGUUUGGGGCUGACCAAUGCUAUGAGCUGCUGAAGGCCAGAAACAAGUCUUCUCCUCCACACAAGCAGCUGAGGUCCUUCUCCUGCCUGGCCUUAUAAGUUGGAGUGCAGUGAGCAGCACUCUUCACAGUCUUCUCAGAAGUCCAGUACAGUCAGAAGAAUGGGAAUGGUCUGGUUAAAAAUGAAGAGUUCAAGUGCUGGUGGAGAGCAAAGAGCUUUGUGGAGCUGCUGAGAGGGCUUCCCCUGAAUUUGCAAAUUGGAGAGUCAUCAGUCUCUGGUGAGGAGUGUGCUGGGAUCCCCACCCUGUCAGGCAGGAGAGAUCUGCGCUGGAGCAACUGUCCUGAGCGAUUUAGUAUGACUCUUUUUUCCCAGUUUUUUGGUUGUUACUGAGCUGCAUUGUUUAAAUUUAACUGUAAGAUUAAGGGUUGAGUGCAAAAUGGAGCUGUUUAGCAAGGGAUGCAACAUGUGCUUUCCUUUUAAUGUAAAAUCACAGAAUUCCAAGUUAUCCAUAAAAUCAAAUCCUGUGGAAAAGCAAUUUUGGAGUGGGAAAUUAAUUUUAACAUUGUGUUAUUUCCACUGUAAUAGAAGAUUAACAAAAAAUACCUUUGGGGGGGGGAGAUUGAGACACUUUUCCUGGAAAUGUCAAUAUAGAGUUUUAUGACAUUGCUAUAACACUUUGGUCUCGAUUGCUUCAAAAUAAAAAUUUGGCAACAUUCUACUUUGUAAGUCUC
This 1070-nucleotide long non-coding RNA is filed under the name Anser brachyrhynchus (Pink-footed goose). RNAcentral describes it as "lncRNA (ENSABRG00000012644.1)". Lineage: Eukaryota; Metazoa; Chordata; Aves; Anseriformes; Anatidae. The record is from RNAcentral.